RNAcentral lists this ribosomal RNA (230 nucleotides) under uncultured bacterium. Its description in RNAcentral is "partial 16S ribosomal RNA". It matches the Rfam family "Bacterial small subunit ribosomal RNA", at positions 561 to 790 of the family's 1533-position model. The record is from RNAcentral.
UAAAGGGUCCGUAGGCGGUUUAGUAAGUCAGUGGUGAAAGCCCAUCGCUCAACGGUGGAACGGCCAUUGAUACUGCUGAACUUGAAUUAUUAGGAAGUAACUAGAAUAUGUAGUGUAGCGGUGAAAUGCUUAGAGAUUACAUGGAAUACCAAUUGCGAAGGCAGGUUACUACUAAUGGAUUGACGCUGAUGGACGAAAGCGUGGGUAGCGAACAGGAUUAGAUACCCGGU